UUGGUGGUUUAAAAGAUGAUU
RNAcentral lists this non-coding RNA (21 nucleotides) under Arabidopsis thaliana (thale cress). Lineage: Eukaryota; Viridiplantae; Streptophyta; Magnoliopsida; Brassicales; Brassicaceae. The record is from RNAcentral.